Small nucleolar RNA from Rattus norvegicus (Norway rat), 133 nucleotides. Ensembl annotates it as small nucleolar RNA SNORA1. NCBI's taxonomy places the organism in Eukaryota, Metazoa, Chordata, Mammalia, Rodentia, Muridae. The record is from Ensembl.
AGCCUCAUUGUACAUAAAAAUGGGCAUUGUUGUUGGCCAGUGUCCAGUGUCAAUGUGGCUACAUUAAGAUACAGGUCAUGCUUCCAUCACAGCAGAUUAAAUGACAGUGGUGACAAUGAGACCUGCAACAUUU